Molecule: transfer RNA, 92 nt
Filed under: Steroidobacteraceae bacterium
Lineage: Bacteria; Pseudomonadati; Pseudomonadota; Gammaproteobacteria; Steroidobacterales; Steroidobacteraceae
Also listed under: 1 other name
Description: tRNA-Ser
Rfam family: tRNA
About the family: Transfer RNA (tRNA) molecules are approximately 80 nucleotides in length. Their secondary structure includes four short double-helical elements and three loops (D, anti-codon, and T loops).
Source: RNAcentral
GGAGAGGUGGCCGAGUGGUCGAAGGCGCUGGACUGGAAUUCCAGUUACAUCUUCACGGGUGUACGUGGGUUCGAAUCCCACCCUCUCCGCCA